RNAcentral lists this small RNA (87 nucleotides) under Bacillus sp. SJS. Its description in RNAcentral is "BsrC". It matches the Rfam family "BsrC". Rfam says of the family: The 301 nucleotide sequence from Kouji Nakamura has been trimmed to a highly conserved ~85 nucleotide long core to form this family. The record is from Rfam by way of RNAcentral. Lineage: Bacteria; Bacillati; Bacillota; Bacilli; Caryophanales; Bacillaceae.
AAAAACCAAAACAACGAAAGCCCUGCCUCUCUUUCAUCCUUACGGCUCCUAGGCCGUGCCAGUAUGAAUCAGUUGUUUGGAUAAACC